GACGAACGCUGGCGGCGUGCUUAACACAUGCAAGUCGAACGGAAAGGCCCUUCGGGGUACUCGAGUGGCGAACGGGUGAGUAACACGUGGGUGAUCUGCCCUGCACUUUGGGAUAAGCCUGGGAAACUGGGUCUAAUACCGAAUAGGACCACGCGCUUCAUGGUGUGUGGUGGAAAGCUUUUGCGGUGUGGGAUGGGCCCGCGGCCUAUCAGCUUGUUGGUGGGGUAAUGGCCUACCAAGGCGACGACGGGUAGCCGGCCUGAGAGGGUGACCGGCCACACUGGGACUGAGAUACGGCCCAGACUCCUACGGGAGGCAGCAGUGGGGAAUAUUGCACAAUGGGCGCAAGCCUGAUGCAGCGACGCCGCGUGAGGGAUGACGGCCUUCGGGUUGUAAACCUCUUUCAAUAGGGACGAAGCGCAAGUGACGGUACCUAUAGAAAAAGCACCGGCCAACUACGUG
This 462-nucleotide ribosomal RNA is filed under the name uncultured bacterium. RNAcentral describes it as "partial 16S ribosomal RNA". It matches the Rfam family "Bacterial small subunit ribosomal RNA", at positions 28 to 507 of the family's 1533-position model. The record is from RNAcentral.